Molecule: ribosomal RNA, 616 nt
Filed under: Ascomycota sp. rs-jx79
Lineage: Eukaryota; Fungi; Ascomycota
Description: eukaryotic LSU rRNA
Rfam family: Eukaryotic large subunit ribosomal RNA
Source: RNAcentral
UUGCAUAUCAAUAAGCGGAGGAAAAGAAACCAACAGGGAUUGCCCCAGUAACGGCGAGUGAAGCGGCAAGAGCUCAAAUUUGAAAGCUGGCCCCCUCGGGGUCCGCAUUGUAAUUUGCAGAGGAUGCUUCGGGAGUGGCCCCCAUCUAAGUGCUCUGGAACGGGCCGUCAUAGAGGGUGAGAAUCCCGUAUGGGAUGGGGUGUCCGCGACCAUGUGAAGCUCCUUCGACGAGUCGAGUUGUUUGGGAAUGCAGCUCUAAAUGGGUGGUAAAUUUCAUCUAAAGCUAAAUAUUGGCCGGAGACCGAUAGCGCACAAGUAGAGUGAUCGAAAGAUGAAAAGCACUUUGAAAAGAGAGUUAAAAAGCACGUGAAAUUGUUGAAAGGGAAGCGCUUGCGACCAGACUCGCCUACGGGGUUCAGCCGGUAUUCGUACCGGUGUACUUCCCCGUGGGCGGGCCAGCGUCGGUUUGGGCGGCCGGUCAAAGGCCCUCGGAAUGUAACGCCUCUCGGGGCGUCUUAUAGCCGAGGGUGCCAUGCGGCCAGCCCGGACCGAGGAACGCGCUUCGGCACGGACGCUGGCAUAAUGGUCGUAAGCGACCCGUCUUGAAACACGGACC